GAGUUAGCCGAGGCUUAUUCGUCAGGUACCGUCAGAUCUUCUUCCCUGACAAAAGAGGUUUACAACCCAAAAAGCCUUCCUCCCUCACGCGGUCUUGCUCCGUCAGGCUUUCGCCCAUUGCGGAAAAUUCCCC
This 133-nucleotide ribosomal RNA is filed under the name uncultured bacterium. Its description in RNAcentral is "partial 16S ribosomal RNA". The record is from RNAcentral.